RNAcentral lists this ribosomal RNA (460 nucleotides) under uncultured bacterium. RNAcentral describes it as "partial 16S ribosomal RNA". It matches the Rfam family "Bacterial small subunit ribosomal RNA", at positions 338 to 795 of the family's 1533-position model. The record is from RNAcentral.
CCUACGGGAGGCAGCAGUGAGGAAUAUUGGUCAAUGGGCGCGAGCCUGAACCAGCCAAGUAGCGUGAAGGAUGACUGCCCUACGGGUUGUAAACUUCUUUUUUAAAGGAAUAAAGUGAGGCACGUGUGCAUUUUUGUAUGGACUUUAUGAAUAAGGAUAGGCUAACUCCGUGCCAGCAGCCGAGGUAAUACGUAGGGUCCGAUCGUUAUCCGGAUUUAUUUGGCUUAAAGGGAGCGUAGAUGGGUUGUUAAGUCAGUUGUGAAAGUUUGCGGCUCAACCGUAAAAUUGCAAUUGAUACUGGCAGUCUUGAUUACAGUUGAGGUAGGCGGAAUUCGUGGUGUAGCAGUGAAAUGCUUAGAUAUCACGAAGAACUCCGAUUGCGAAGGCAGCCUACUAAACUGCCACUGACAUUGAUGCUCGAAAGUGUGGGUAUCAAACAGGAUUAGAUACCCGUGUAGUC